RNAcentral lists this unclassified non-coding RNA (56 nucleotides) under Umezakia ovalisporum ILC-164. The record is from RNAcentral. Lineage: Bacteria; Bacillati; Cyanobacteriota; Cyanophyceae; Nostocales; Nodulariaceae.
CUCUCAUUACAUUUUCGCGUUACUUGCAGUCUUCAGGGUCUCUGACUCUACAAUCU